GAUGAACGCUGGCGGCGUGCCUAAUACAUGCAAGUCGAGCGAACAGACGAGGAGCUUGCUCCUCUGACGUUAGCGGCGGACGGGUGAGUAACACGUGGAUAACCUACCUAUAAGACUGGGAUAACUUCGGGAAACCGGAGCUAAUACCGGAUAAUAUAUUGAACCGCAUGGUUCAAUAGUGAAAGACGGUUUUGCUGUCACUUAUAGCUGGAUCCGCGCCGCAUUAGCUAGUUGGUAAGGUAACGGCUUACCAAGGCGACGAUGCGUAGCCGACCUGAGAGGGUGAUCGGCCACACUGGAACUGAGACGCGGUCCAGACUCCUACGGGAGGCAGCAGUAGGGAAUCUUCCGCAAUGGGCGAAAGCCUGACGGAGCAACGCCGCGUGAGUGAUGAAGGUCUUCGGAUCGUAAAACUCUGUUAUUAGGGAAGAACAAAUGUGUAAGUAACUAUGCACGUCUUGACGGUACCUGAUCAGAAAGCCACGGCUAACUACGUG
This 497-nucleotide ribosomal RNA is filed under the name uncultured bacterium. RNAcentral describes it as "partial 16S ribosomal RNA". It matches the Rfam family "Bacterial small subunit ribosomal RNA", at positions 28 to 507 of the family's 1533-position model. The record is from RNAcentral.